RNAcentral lists this ribosomal RNA (468 nucleotides) under uncultured bacterium. Its description in RNAcentral is "partial 16S ribosomal RNA". It matches the Rfam family "Bacterial small subunit ribosomal RNA", at positions 28 to 507 of the family's 1533-position model. The record is from RNAcentral.
GACGAACGCUGGCGGCGUGCUUAACACAUGCAAGUCGAACGGAAAGGCCCUGCUUUUGUGGGGUGCUCGAGUGGCGAACGGGUGAGUAACACGUGAGUAACCUGCCCUUGACUUUGGGAUAACUUCAGGAAACUGGGGCUAAUACCGGAUAGGAGCUCCUGCUGCAUGGUGGGGGUUGGAAAGUUUCGGCGGUUGGGGAUGGACUCGCGGCUUAUCAGCUUGUUGGUGGGGGAGUGGCUUACCAAGGCUUUGACGGGUAGCCGGCCUGAGAGGUUGACCGGCCACAUUGGGACUGAGAUACGGCCCAGACUCCUACGGGAGGCAGCAGUGGGGAAUAUUGCACAAUGGGCGGAAGCCUGAUGCAGCAACGCCGCGUGCGGGAUGACGGCCUUCGGGUUGUAAACCGCUUUCGCCUGUGACGAAGCGUGAGUGACGGUAAUGGGUAAAGAAGCACCGGCUAACUACGUG